Gallus gallus (chicken) is the source of this 1498-nucleotide long non-coding RNA. RefSeq lists it as uncharacterized. The record is from RefSeq and is a predicted model, not a curated record. The transcript is spliced from 2 exons. NCBI's taxonomy places the organism in Eukaryota, Metazoa, Chordata, Aves, Galliformes, Phasianidae.
GAUCUGGAGAGAAGAGGCUGAAAAUCAGCUCCUCAAAAAGAGAUCUGGACUUUCUGGUUGAUGUCAGGUUGAAUCUGAGUCAGCAGCGUGCCCUGGCCCAUUCCCUGGUGUACAUCGGGCCCAGCGCUGCUAGCAGAAUAGGGAAGGGAUUGUCCCACUCUUCUCUGUGCUGCUCCAGCUUCACCUCAAGUCUUGUUUUCACUUUUGACAUCAAUGAUGCGAAGACAUAAAACUAUUCUCUAGUGUACUGAGGAGGGAUACAAAGAAGAUGGAAGCUACGAGGGAACUUCCUUGGAUUGUUCUGCCAAGCGGAGACUGAGGGCAUCCCUCAUGCCCGCCUACGUCUCCUCACAGGGGAGAGGAAGGGCAGCUCUGCUGUCUGGUGACAGGAACAGCUCCUGUGGGAAUAGCAUGGAGCUGUGUGAGUGUAGGGUCAAGUGGGGGGUCAGGGAAAGGUUUUGCACCAGUGGGUAGUGAGCACAGAACAAGCUUCCCAGGGCAGUGCACAAGCACUAAGGCUGCCGGAGUUCAAGAAGCAUUUGGACAAUCCUUUCAGAUCUACCGUUUAAUUUUGAAGGAGUGCAGUGUGGAGGCAUGAGUUGGACUCAGUUAUCCUUGUGGGUCCCUUCCUACAUCGGUGGGUAUUCUCUGAUUCCCCUGCAUUUGUUCCCUCCCUGAGCUCAUUGCAGCUCAUUAGCCAGCCUUCCGCUCUUGUCUCUCCUUCUGGGUGCGCUACAUGGCUGGCUGGAUGCCCCUUGAUGUUGGAAUGUUGUAGGUGGGAGCAAGGAGGCUGCCUGUUUUGUGCCGUGCCUGCCUGGGGCCCUCCUUGCAGCUGUCCAAGCCGGCAGGGGAGGGCUGUUUGUGAGAGCAGGAUGCUGUCCGCUCACGCGUGGUGCUGGUCUAGCGAGCUCUGUGAUGCUGUAUGAGAAGAGCCUCAGUGUGCCCCAAUCUUUGGGUAGGUGUAGAUCAUUUAUUAUGAGGUGAAGACCGUCUGCAAGACACCAGUGCACUUGUUGGUGACAUGGUUGCAAGAGGAGGUCUCGGGACCCUUUUGUACCAGACAGGAUGGUUUCUAGAGCCAUGUCUUUAUAGUGGGUGAAGUGGGAAGCGCAGUGUAGUGGUGAAGGAAGGAAGAGGAGGACUCUGUGGGUGACGUGCAUGAGAUCUUUAUUGAUGAAAACACGCUUAAAGUCAGGAUGCACUUGGGGAUCACCAAGUGGACAGGCCAGAAUUUAAGGUGCAAAGAAAGGAGAAAUCUGCAGUGCUGAUGUUUCCAGACAGCGUGGUGUGACGCUGCUCCCUGCUUGCGAGUUUUGUUCUGUGAGAAGAGGAGCCAUGGCUGGUGAGCCCAUGUGCCAUCAGUGACAGAGAGAUGAGAGCUCAGUGCAUGAGGCGCCUUGCAGGGUGCAGGAGGUUGCUGUGAGGGUGUGGGCGCAGGCCCUUAGCAGGGGUAGCGGGCUCUCCAGCCGUUGAAGCAGCCCAGGCCUCCGAAGCCGAA